This 72-nucleotide transfer RNA is filed under the name Spongiivirga citrea. It matches the Rfam family "tRNA". From Rfam's summary of the family: Transfer RNA (tRNA) molecules are approximately 80 nucleotides in length. Their secondary structure includes four short double-helical elements and three loops (D, anti-codon, and T loops). The record is from Rfam by way of RNAcentral. Lineage: Bacteria; Pseudomonadati; Bacteroidota; Flavobacteriia; Flavobacteriales; Flavobacteriaceae.
GGCGCUGUGGCUGAAUUGGCUAGGCUUAGUUUCGCAAGAACUUACAUAGUGGUUCGAAUCCACUCGGCGCCU